GACGUAGGGCGCGAGCGUUGUCCGGAUUUAUUGGGCGUAAAGAGCUCGUAGGCGGCUUGUCGCGUCGACUGUGAAAACCCGGGGCUUAACUUCGGGCUGGCAGUCGAUACGGGCGGGCUGGAGUUCGGUAGGGGAGACUGGAAUUCCUGGUGUAGCGGUGAAAUGCGCAGAUAUCAGGAGGAACACCGGUGGCGAAGGCGGGUCUCUGGGCCGAUACUGACGCUGAGGAGCGAAAGCGUGGGGAGCGAACAGG
RNAcentral lists this ribosomal RNA (253 nucleotides) under uncultured bacterium. RNAcentral describes it as "partial 16S ribosomal RNA". It matches the Rfam family "Bacterial small subunit ribosomal RNA", at positions 524 to 776 of the family's 1533-position model. The record is from RNAcentral.